Non-coding RNA from Pelobates cultripes (western spadefoot toad), 227 nucleotides. Lineage: Eukaryota; Metazoa; Chordata; Amphibia; Anura; Pelobatidae. The record is from the annotation of a GenBank genome assembly.
AGAUGGUCCUUGUGGGCCGAAUGCGUCCCGCGGGCCGCGAGUUUGAUAUGCUUGCUGUAGGCACUGUAAGUGUUUAUCUCAUUGAAGUGGUUAUAGCGUCUGGAGACCCCUGGCGACAUCGUUCCAUUAAGUGAGACUCCUCUUGAUACUUAGAUGUCAGAGUGCUCUGAUUGGUUGGCUUUCUAGCCAACCAAUCAGAGCACUCUUGGUCAUAUUGCAAAUUUUCC